CCUCAAACACAUCUCCAAAGUUAGCUCAGAGCUGGGUGGGUCCUUUUCUGACCUGAAUCUAAUCAGGUUAAUGAGACUGCAGGUGGUAGCACUUGCUAAUCAGUGCUUGAAGCUACAAAGGGGGAAGCUCUCAGGUCUACUUGUGUCUAAAAAUAAUGAUAGGUGGACAUAGGUGUCUCCUUGAGAGAGUCAGAGCAUCAUCUCAGGUGGACUGGCAGAGGUCUAUGAACAUUUGCUUGGAGAAGACAAGCAGAGAAGAUGCUUCACCUUUCAAGGUAAUGUAACCUGAACUAUUAUGGCCACACACGGUCAGCAACAACUUGUUGAAGACUGAAUACAACUGCGAUGAUUGAAGAAGUGACCUGGAGGACAAUGGUUUUUCUCCUUCAAGAAGCCACCAGUGCGACAGCAGCAGUAUCGAGGCUUAUCAUGACAGCAUCUGAGCACUUCUCAAAUACCCAUGGAUGUUUCUUCAGAGAAGUCUGAUGAGGAUGGGAAAAGAGAAGGUCUGAGGUCCUGAGGCAUAAAAACUAGGACCGGUUUCUGGUUUAGACCAAGGAAGAAAAGGAAAUGUCCCAGCUCUUGGCAGCUGUGGAGACCCCUCAGCUGAGAUCCUGGAAGCACUAAAACCUCAGAAAGAGAUGGGGACAAUGAAGACAAAGUAUGAAGAAACAAAUAAAAUCUUCAUCAGCAGAAAAACCACACGACACCCACAGCCUUCGGGAGAAGCCCCCAACCCAGAGAACGGACACAAAUCCCAGACUGCAGAUGUGACAGUAAACGUCAAACUUGCCUAAACACAAAUACAAUAAUAAAAACAUUUUAGGACUUUUAUGUAAUAAA
Molecule: long non-coding RNA, 843 nt
Organism: Columba livia (rock pigeon)
Lineage: Eukaryota; Metazoa; Chordata; Aves; Columbiformes; Columbidae
Exons: 5
Source: RefSeq, a predicted model, not a curated record